CCCUUAGAUGUUCUGGGCCGCACGCGCACUACACUGAUGAAUUCAACGAGCCUAACCUUGGCCGAAAGGUCUGGGUAAUCUCCAAAUUUCGUCGUGAUGGGGAUAGAUUAUUGCAAUUAUUAAUCUUCAACGAGGAAUGCCUAGUAAGCGCAAGUCAUCAGCUUGCGUUGAUUACGUCCCUGCCCUUUGUACACACCGCCCGUCGCUCCCACCGAUUGAAUGGUCCGGUGAAGCGUUCGGACCGUGGCCUUUGGACGGUUCGCCGUCUGUUGGCUGCGGGAAGUUCGUUAAACCUUAUCAUUUAGAGGAAGGAGAAGUCGUANCA
RNAcentral lists this ribosomal RNA (325 nucleotides) under uncultured eukaryote. RNAcentral's name for it is "partial 18S ribosomal RNA". It matches the Rfam family "Eukaryotic small subunit ribosomal RNA", at positions 1470 to 1796 of the family's 1831-position model. The record is from RNAcentral.